RNAcentral lists this ribosomal RNA (253 nucleotides) under uncultured bacterium. RNAcentral's name for it is "partial 16S ribosomal RNA". It matches the Rfam family "Bacterial small subunit ribosomal RNA", at positions 524 to 776 of the family's 1533-position model. The record is from RNAcentral.
UACGUAGGGUGCAAGCGUUAUCCGGAUUCACUGGGUUUAAAGGGUGCGUAGGUGGGCCUGUAAGUCAGCGGUGAAAUCUCCGGGCUUAACCCGGAAACUGCCAUUGAUACUAUAGGUCUUGAAUUAUCUGGAGGUAAGCGGAAUAUGUCAUGUAGCGGUGAAAUGCUUAGAUAUGACAUAGAACACCAAUUGCGAAGGCAGCUUACUACGGAUCGAUUGACACUGAGGCACGAAAGCGUGGGGAUCAAACAGG